UCAAGCUAGAAAGAGCGCAAGGGGAAUGCCUUGGCAUCAGGAGCCGACGAAGGACGUGACAAGCUGCGAUAAGCUGCGGUGAGCUGCACAUAAGCUUUGACCCGCAGAUUUCCGAAUGGGGAAACCCGGCAGAGCAAUACUCUGUCAGCGUGCGUUGAAUCAAAUAGGCGUACGCGGGGAACCGCCUGAACUGAAACAUCUAAGUAGGGCGAGGAAGAGAAAUCAACCGAGAUUCCGCUAGUAGUGGCGAGCGAACGCGGAAGAGGCCAAACCAAGAGUAGUAAUACUUUUGGGGUUUUGGACAGCGUACGGUAUUAACUGCGGUUAGUAGAAUGAAAUGGGAAGUUCAACCACAGAGCGUGAUAGUCGCGUACACGAAAACUAAGGUUAGCCAGCUGGAUCCAGAGUACCGCCGGACACGUGAAACCCGGUGGGAAGACGGGGGGACCACCCUCCAAGCCUAAAUACUCUCCAAUGACCGAUAGUGUAUAGUACUGUGAAGGAAAGGUGAAAAGAACCCCUGGCGGGGAGUGAAAUAGAACCUGAAACCUUGUGCCUACAAGCACAUAGAGCGCGUCAAUGCGUGAUAUGGUACCUUUUGUAGAAUGGUCCGGCGAGUGAAUGUCACUGGCAAGGUUAAGCUCUUCAGGAGUGCAGCCGAAGCGAAAGCGAGUCUGAAAUGGGCGUAUUUAGUCAGUGGUAUUCGACCCGAAACCGGGUGACCUAGCCAUGAGCAGGCUGAAGUGGAGGUAAAACUCCAUGGAGGGCCGAACCCACUCCCGUUGAAAUGGUAGGGGAUGACUUGUGGCUAGCGGAGAAAUUCCAAUCGAACCCGGAGAUAGCUGGUUCUCUCCGAAAUAGCUUUAGGGCUAGCCUCAAUUAACAUUACCGCAGGUAAAGCACUGAAUGAGCUAGGGGGCGAAAGCUUACUGAACUCUAUCAAACUCAGAAUGGCGGAUAAUGAAUGAUUGGGAGUCACACUACGUGAGAUAAGUUUCGUGGUGGAAAGGGAAACAGCCCAGACCCACAGCUAAGGUCCCAAAGUACAGUUAAGUGGAAAAGGAUGUGAAAUUGCGCAGACAACCAGGAUGUUGGCUCAGAAGCAGCCACUCAUUCAAAGAGUGCGUAAUAGCUCACUGGUCGAGUGAUUUUGCGCCGAAAAUUUAACGGGGCUAAACUGUACACCGAAGCUUGGGAAUAUACAUUUGUAUGUUGGUAGGAGAGCGUUGUGUAAGGGGUGAAGUCGUAGCGAAAGCGGCGGUGGACUUUACACAAGUGAGAAUGCCGGAAUGAGUAGCGAGAAUUAUGUGAGAAUCAUAAUGGCCGAAAGACUAAGGUUUUAGAAGGAAGGUUCGUCCGCUUCUAGUUAGCCGGGAGCUAAGGCGAGGCCGAGAGGCGUAGUCGAUGCACAUACGGUUGAGAUUCCGUAGCUACCUUGCAUUUAAGCGAAGGGACACAUUUGAAGGGCAUGACCCGGGCGUUGGUUGACCCGGGCGUAAGGGACCGAAAAUAAGUAGGGAAGCAUGCUUGGAUGGUGGCGAGAAAAGCUUCGUGUAUAUAAGCAGGGUACCCGUACUGCAAACCGACACAGGUAGUCAGGAAGAGGAUUCUAAGGCCAUCGGGAGAAGCGUUGUUAAGGAACUCGGCAAAUUGACCCCGUAACUUCGGAAUAAGGGGUGCUCACGCGAGUGAGCCGCAGUGAAUAGGUCCAGGCAACUGUUUAUCAAAAACACAGCUCUCUGCUAAAUCGUAAGAUGACGUAUAGGGGGUGACACCUGCCCGGUGCUGGAAGGUUAAGAGGAGGGGUGCAAGCUCCGAAUUGAAGCCCCAGUAAACGGCGGCCGUAACUAUAACGGUCCUAAGGUAGCGAAAUUCCUUGUCGGGUA
This 1886-nucleotide ribosomal RNA is filed under the name human gut metagenome. RNAcentral's name for it is "bacterial LSU rRNA". It matches the Rfam family "Bacterial large subunit ribosomal RNA", at positions 3 to 1978 of the family's 2925-position model. The record is from RNAcentral.